This 301-nucleotide ribosomal RNA is filed under the name uncultured bacterium. Its description in RNAcentral is "partial 16S ribosomal RNA". It matches the Rfam family "Bacterial small subunit ribosomal RNA", at positions 509 to 809 of the family's 1533-position model. The record is from RNAcentral.
CAGCAGCCGCGGGAAUACAGAGGGUGCGAGCGUUAAUCGGAUUUACUGGGCGUAAAGCGUGCGUAGGCGGCUUCUUAAGUCGGAUGUGAAAUCCCUGAGCUUAACUUAGGAAUUGCAUUCGAUACUGGGAAGCUAGAGUAUGGGAGAGGAUGGUAGAAUUCCAGGUGUAGCGGUGAAAUGCGUAGAGAUCUGGAGGAAUACCGAUGGCGAAGGCAGCCAUCUGGCCUAAUACUGACGCUGAGGUACGAAAGCAUGGGGAGCAAACAGGAUUAGAGACCCCUGUAGUCCCUGUCUCUUAUUU